GUGGGGAAUAUUGCGCAAUGGGCGAAAGCCUGACGCAGCGACGCCGCGUGCGGGAUGAAGGCCUUCGGGUUGUAAACCGCUUUCAGCAGGGACGAAGCGAAAGUGACGGUACCUGCAGAAGAAGCGCCGGCUAACUACGUGCCAGCAGCCGCGGUAACACGUAGGGCGCAAGCGUUGUCCGGAAUUAUUGGGCGUAAAGAGCUCGUAGGUGGUCCGCCGCGUCUGCUGUGAAAAUCCAGGGCUUAACCCUGGACUUGCAGUGGAUACGGGCGAACUAGAGGUAGGUAGGGGAGAAUGGAAUUCCCGGUGUAGCGGUGAAAUGCGCAGAUAUCGGGAGGAACACCGGUGGCGAAGGCGGUUCUCUGGGCCUUACCUGACACUGAGGAGCGAAAGCGUGGGGAGCGAACAGGAUUAGAAACCCCAGUAGUCC
This 430-nucleotide ribosomal RNA is filed under the name uncultured bacterium. RNAcentral describes it as "bacterial SSU rRNA". It matches the Rfam family "Bacterial small subunit ribosomal RNA", at positions 354 to 796 of the family's 1533-position model. The record is from RNAcentral.